CGUACCAUGCAAGUCGAGCGGAAACGAGUUAACUGAACCUUCGGGGAACGAUAACGGCGUCGAGCGGCGGACGGGUGAGUAAUGCCUAGGAAAUUGCCCUGAUGUGGGGGAUAACCAUUGGAAACGAUGGCUAAUACCGCAUGAUGCCUACGGGCCAAAGAGGGGGACCUUCGGGCCUCUCGCGUCAGGAUAUGCCUAGGUGGGAUUAGCUAGUUGGUGAGGUAAGGGCUCACCAAGGCAACGAUCCCUAGCUGGUCUGAGAGGAUGAUCAGCCACACUGGAACUGAGACACGGUCCAGACUCCUACGGGAGGCAGCAGUGGGGAAUAUUGCACAAUGGGCGCAAGCCUGAUGCAGCCAUGCCGCGUGUGUGAAGAAGGCCUUCGGGUUGUAAAGCACUUUCAGUCGUGAGGAAGGCGGUGUCGUUAAUAGCGGCAUCGUUUGACGUUAGCGACAGAAGAAGCACCGGCUAACUCCGUGCCAGCAGCCGCGGUAAUACGGAGGGUGCGAGCGUUAAUCGGAAUUACUGGGCGUAAAGCGCAUGCAGGUGGUUUGUUAAGUCAGAUGUGAAAGCCCGGGGCUCAACCUCGGAAUAGCAUUUGAAACUGGCAGACUAGAGUACUGUAGAGGGGGGUAGAAUUUCAGUGUAGCGGUGAAAUGCGUAGAGAUCUGAAGGAAUACCGGUGGCGAAAGGGGCCCCCUGGACAGAUACUGACACUCAGAUGCGAAAGCGUGGGGGAGCAAACAGGAUUAGAUACCCUGGUAGUCCACGCCGUAACGAUGUCUACUUGGAGGUUGUGGCCCUUGAGCCGUGGCUUUCGAGCUAACGCGUUAAGUAGACCGCCUGGGGGAGUACGGUCGGCAAGAUUAAAACUCAAAUGAAUGACGGGGCCCGCACAGCGUGGAGCAUGGUGGUUUAUCGAUGCACGCGAGACUAACUACUCUGACAUC
This 950-nucleotide ribosomal RNA is filed under the name Vibrio sp. BBT01. Its description in RNAcentral is "bacterial SSU rRNA". It matches the Rfam family "Bacterial small subunit ribosomal RNA", at positions 48 to 988 of the family's 1533-position model. Lineage: Bacteria; Pseudomonadati; Pseudomonadota; Gammaproteobacteria; Vibrionales; Vibrionaceae. The record is from RNAcentral.